Molecule: ribosomal RNA, 497 nt
Filed under: uncultured bacterium
Lineage: Bacteria
Description: partial 16S ribosomal RNA
Rfam family: Bacterial small subunit ribosomal RNA
Source: RNAcentral
GAUGAACGCUGGCGGCGUGCCUAAUACAUGCAAGUCGAGCGAACGGACGAGAAGCUUGCUUCUCUGAUGUUAGCGGCGGACGGGUGAGUAACACGUGGAUAACCUACCUAUCAGACUGGGAUAACUUCGGGAAACCGUAGCUAAUACCGGAUAAUAUUUUGAACCGCAUGGUUCAAAAGUGAAAGACGGUCUUGCUGUCACUUAUAGAUGGAUCCGCGCUGCAUUAGCUAGUUGGUAAGGUAACGGCUUACCAAGGCAACGAUGCAUAGCCGACCUGAGAGAGUGAUCGGCCACACGGGAGCUGAGACACGGACCAGACUCCUACGGGAGGCAGCAGUAGGGAAUCUUCCGCAAUGGGCGAAAGCCUGACGGAGCAACGCCGCGUGAGUGAUGAAGGUCUUCGGAUCGUAAAACUCUGUUAUUAGUGAAGAACAUAUGUGUAAGUAACUGUGCACAUCUUGACGGUACCUAAUCAGAAAGCCACGGCUAACUACGUG